GCUGUCCUGGGUUGUAUAAGAAGCAGUGUGAGCAAACCUUGGAGAACAGACCCAUAAGAGGCACUACAACCUCCCCUCAGAUCCUGCCUCCAAGCUCCUACCUUGAGUUCCUGCCUUGACUUCCCUCAGUGUUGUGCUGUGACCUGGAUUGUGUAGUAACCCCUGUCCUUCCCAAGCUGGCUUCAGUCAGUGUUUUACCACAGGCUGCUUGGUUUUAGGCUCUGCCCUUCUGCCUUUUGCCUCUUCUAUUUUUCACUCACAGAGCCCUGUUGGAUCAGAGUAAGGUACACACCACAAUAUUCUUCUGUUUGGAGUAAUAGGAUCUUCCUAGCUAGGGCUUAUUCAAGAGUGGAUUGAGGCCUGGGAGGACUCCGUAGAUCAGGCCAUUAGGUUGGGUCUUCAGCACAGAGCCCAUAGACAGAAAGCCGAAGCUCUCUCAUCGGUCCCUUGUUUAAUGUGUUAGACUGGCUUUUUUCCAGGGGCACUCGGAAUCCUGACUGCAUAUUCCAGGCGAGUCCACCUGAACACUUCUCAUCUGAGAGAGAGUCUAUUGUUUGCACAGCACUUUCACUGUCAUCAGCUCCUUGAUGUAUUUGCGGGCGCAGUCUGGGCAGAAUGGUGUGAUUAUUAUUCUCUGUUUCACGUGGAGGAGCCCGAGGGCGGAGGUGAGCAGCUGAGGUGGUAUAGCUCAUCCUGGGAUGAACGGGGUCUGGAGACCCGUCUGCCUCACCCUGUCUUUCUGCAGGUUCUUGAACUCCGACAAUCUUACCCCCAGGGUCCCUUGGUGCAGCUUGGGAGCUGGCUUGCUGGUUUUCAGGAAGAGAAGGUUGUGAGCACAUCUGGAGACUGUCCACUGAGUGGUGCUGUGGAGAUUGGAUGAUCGUCUCUGGGGAGGUGGUCACUUGCCUCUGAAGUUCCUGACCUUGGCAGUAAGAGCAGAGGCCUGAGGCUGGCGGAAGGCGUUGUGUGGAGUCAGCAUGGGUAAGGCACAGUAGAAAGAGCAGUCUCAGACCCUUGUGGAGGGCAGGCGGCGCUGUCCUAGACUUUGGGUUUGGGGACUCAUUGUUUCCCAUUAACCCCGAGUGUCCUUGGCACAGGUCUAGACAACAAGGGGGCACAGCAAGGAGGAGAAAACACAAAUCAAGAAGUAACACUUUUUUUUUGAAGGAGAAAUUAUAAAUUGCAAUUUAAUCACAUAAUCACUUUGACACUCUCAAGCAAGCUAAUUUCUUCCCUUGCCUCAUUUCAUCCACUCGGUGAGAUGAAUCUUAAUGAAUAAUGUCCUAUGAAUAUUUAAUUUUUGAUCAAUUUGAAUUUUCUCUGGCAUACCUGCUGGAGAUAUAAAUCAGUUCCUCUUCUAUUCAGCAGAGAGAAUUUGGACAGCAGCCUGGGUGGAUCUCUGCCCAGGGCCACAGAAACGACCAGUGGCGGCUCUGAGGUUCUCAUGAGCGCAUCUCACUCUGUGACCUGGACUCUCUAGAUAGGGUCUGUAAGCUGCAUUUUCUAAUCCCAGUCUGCCAGCAGAGGCCUGAAGCCAGUGGCUGGCUAUGAGAGAUGUCUGCAAUACCUUUCCACAGAGUGUCAUAAGUUUGAACCACAGGACUCUGCAGAAACAUCCAGGUAGCUAUGAAGGAACCGAAGAACGUGGGAACUGAUGCUUCGAGACACAUAUUCUCCUUAACGUGGCUCGAUGGGGAGUCGGAUGAGUUCUUGUUGUCCAUGGCCUAGCAAGUUUGUGCAGUUGCACUUGGAAGUCUUCUGUGCCUUGCCGAGGUAUCAGCACAUCCACAGAGGCCUGGGGUGACAAUGUAGAGCUCACAGGUCAGGAGACUUUGUGACUGGAGCAACAGGGCUGGAAUUGCAGCCUUUAGCUGUGGAUGCUGCUGUGCUAUCUUGAAAAGUCAGUGUUACCUGUGGGAAAGUCUAGGGACCAGGCUGGAUGAAUAAUCCAGAAUAGAAUAUAGAAGUCCAGAGUAUAGGGCAUAGAAUAAUCAACAGGGCUCAGAGCUUAAUUCUUCCCUGCAGACAUCGCCAGGUUAAGGAAGCUCCCCAUUAUCAGUCACCAUUAAGGAAGAGUCCGAGUGAUGGUGAAGGGCCCAGGAUAGAAUUUGGAAGUCUAAACAGUGCACACAGACAGAACCGUCGAGAAGUUGUGCAUGCCCAUGUUAGUGACUUCAAGGUUUUAAGUUCAUGUCUUAAGCUAGGUGUGGUGACUCCUCCCUAGGAUUUCAGCACUCAUGAGGCUGAGACGAGAGGAUUGCUUCAUGUCUGAGGCUAGCCUGGGCUACAUACUGAGUUGUAGACUAGCCUGGGAUGCAAGAGGUUUUUUCUCAAAUAUAACAUACAAACAAUCCAUUUUUCUCAUAACUCAAGUUUCUCGGUGCUGAUUUUGAGAUGCGGAUUUGUUAAAAUGUUUCUGUGGUACAAUAUCAGGGGAUCAAGGAUAAAGAAAAAACAAACAAACAAAACAAAAUAAAACAAAACAACAACAACAACAAAGUAAGGCAGGGCAGGAGAGAAAGGAGCCACAGCCUCCUGAGAAUACUCACUGAGCUGUCCAGCCACGUGGCACUUCUUCCAGAUAGGCCCUGAGAAAACAUCAUACUUCAAUCUCUCCCCCAUCUCUCCCUCUCUUUUUCUCUUUUCUUGUCUUUUAAUGAUCAAUAUUUACCCAGGGUGAGUUAACCUGACUGAACCAUGUACUCACGUGGUCCCUUUAGGAAGACCAAAGGUGUUGGGGACCUCAGGUCUCUGUCAUGGCUCCUGUGACAGCUCACAAGUGCUUUCAGACUCUGCUUUCCAAGAAGUGGUGUUCAGUGCCCCACACCUGAGUAGACAGGCCUCAGUGACUUCCAACAGUAAAGUGACAGCGACAGUCUGUAAUUUCAGAAAUUAGGUCACAGAGGACACUGCGUUCACCUUCCUUUCUAUCCUUACAUUGCCUGCUCUGGAAGAAGCCAGCUUCUGUGUUGUGAGGAAGUAACCAAUGGUCAGGUCCACAUGUCGAGGAGCAAAGUUCCCGGGAACCGCUGAGUCAGCCACCAUGGAGUGGGUUGUCUUCCCAUCGGGUCUCAGGUGACUUGUAAUUCCUGUCAAUGUUUGCACAGUUGUCUCCAGAGAGAACCCUGCAUCAGAGAACCCAGCUUUGCUGCCCCCAGAUUCUUGUCUUUCAUAUUACUUAGAAACCUGAAAGCACAGAAGACAAAGAGAGGGCCUUGGAAGUCACCAGAGAGAACAGAUUGCGCACACAGCAAUGAGAAUUCUAGCACCAGCUCCUUUUUCAACAGAGACAGUGGAAGUCAAGGAAACUAUGGAUUGGCAGCUUCAUACCCCGGUGUAAAAGGACGAUCAAGUCAAACUCUGACUCCCCCGCCCCCAGGGUGCCGGUAAAAUAAGACAACGAAAAAUGUUUUAAAAUAUUAAACAACUGGCUACUAAGAACUACCAAAGGAAUUUAUUAAGAUGCACACCAGGAAGGAAGAAAAUAUUCCCAGGAGAUUUAAAAUUACAAAAUAAACAACGAAGAGAGCAAAUGACAGGUAUAUAAAUACUGGUUAUCUAAAAUGAUGGUCCCCAUUGUCUUCGUGGACCACCAACGCCUAAUGUAGCAUACCCACUGGAUGGAAGCUUUGGGACAGAGGAGAGCCGUGGGAAGACCAUGGAAGCUCAGUUUUGUUCUGAACCUGAAACUGCUCUAAAACGUCUAUUUAUCAGCAACAGCCAGCCAAGAUGCAAGCAUAACACAGCAAAACAAAAGGAUACUAACCUUGGCAGCUAAUCUUCCUUGUCAACUCCAUGGGACCAGAGUCACAAUGAAAACAACUCUCUGGGCAUGUUCAUGAGAGACUGUCUGGAUUAAGUUACUUGAGAUGGUGAGACCCUCGGACUGAAUAAAAAGAAUCAAACAAACAGAGCACACGUAUUCAUUGCUUCUUGACUGGGUGUAGAAUGACCAGAUGCAUGCCUUCUCUGCGUGAUGGACUGUAUCCCUAGGAACUGUGAGCUCUGCAGAGUAAACCCUGCAUUCCUUAAGCUGCUUUUGUCAGGUGUUUUAUUGCAAGGAGACAAGUCCCUAAUAUACUAACCCAGAGGCUCUCAACCUUCCUAAUGCUGCGGUCCUUUAAUGCAGUUCCUCAUGUUGAAGUGAUGUCCAGCUACAAAAUGAUUUUCAUCGCUCCUUCAUAACCCUAAUUUUGCUUCUGUUAUAAAUUGUAAUGUGGAUAUUUGACAUGUGUGACCCCUGUCAUAGGGUCAUUUGACACCUCCAAAUGGGUUGUGACCCAUAGGCUGAGAACCACUUCACUGGCCUGUCUAGGUUGCUGGUUCUCUUUAGGAGUAAGGUAGGUGGGAAACAGGUAUUAUACUGUUUCACUAUUUCAGGGCCAGUGAAAGUCUGCUGACCAUUACAAGUUAACAGUGGCCUGGUUUUCUGCAGCAAAGGGAAGGAAGACAGAGCAUGUUCAGGGCAGAGCUGUGAACCCAGAGGGUUCAAAGAACAGCAAGAACCCUUCACAGAACACCAGAGGAUUGCCUUUCUUAUGUCAGUGCCUAUGGGCUGGAUGCACUGAGUGCUGACCACAUUAAGGCUUAUAGUAAAAACGUUUACCACACAGAAUGGAGGCAGAUGGUGGGAGGCCUGGAGGCCUCGUUAUGCCAGGUAGUAACCCUUUAGCUGCUUGGUUAUAGACAAUCUGGACAGUUCUGGGUUGGAGGGUGGGGCUCACUGGUGUGCUGCUUGAGCAGGGGCACUCACACAUACACCCUAGAUCGCUGGGUCUUGUA
This 4782-nucleotide small RNA is filed under the name Rattus norvegicus (Norway rat). RNAcentral's name for it is "uncharacterized LOC102548357". The record is from RNAcentral. Lineage: Eukaryota; Metazoa; Chordata; Mammalia; Rodentia; Muridae.